This 458-nucleotide ribosomal RNA is filed under the name uncultured bacterium. RNAcentral describes it as "bacterial SSU rRNA". It matches the Rfam family "Bacterial small subunit ribosomal RNA", at positions 8 to 502 of the family's 1533-position model. The record is from RNAcentral.
AGAGUUUGAUCCUGGCUCAGAACGAACGCUGGCGGCAGGCUUAACACAUGCAAGUCGAGCGCCCCUAUAUCUUCGGAUGGACGGGGAGCGGCAGACGGGUGAGUAACGCGUGGGAACCUACCAUUUGGUACGGAAUAACGCAGGGAAACUUGUGCUAAUACCGUAUGUGCCCUUCGGGGGAAAGAUUUAUUGCCAAAUGAUGGGCCCGCGUUGGAUUAGUUUGUUGGUGAGGUAACGGCUCACCAAGACUACGAUCUAUAGCUGGUCUGAGAGGACGAUCAGCCACACUGGGACUGAGACACGGCCCAGACUCCUACGGGAGGCAGCAGUGGGGAAUAUUGGACAAUGGGCGCAAGCCUGAUCCAGCCAUGCCGCGUGUGUGAAGAAGGCCUUAGGGUUGUAAAACACUUUCAAUCGUGAUGAUAAUGACAGUAGCGAUAGAAGAAGUUCCGCUAACU